Molecule: ribosomal RNA, 1442 nt
Filed under: uncultured bacterium
Lineage: Bacteria
Description: bacterial SSU rRNA
Rfam family: Bacterial small subunit ribosomal RNA
Source: RNAcentral
GAUGAACGCUAGCGACAGGCUUAACACAUGCAAGUCGAGGGGCAGCACGUCUUCGGAUGGUGGCGACCGGCGCACGGGUGAGUAACGCGUAUGCAACCUACCCAUAACAGGGGGAUAGCCCGUUGAAAGACGGAUUAAUACCGCAUAACACAGGGGUACCGCAUGGUACUAUUUGUUAAAGAUUUAUUGGUUAUGGAUGGGCAUGCGUUCCAUUAGUUAGUUGGUAAGGUAACGGCUUACCAAGACGUCGAUGGAUAGGGGAACUGAGAGGUUUAUCCCCCACACCGGUACUGAGACACGGACCGGACUCCUACGGGAGGCAGCAGUGAGGAAUAUUGGUCAAUGGUCGAGAGACUGAACCAGCCAAGUCGCGUGAAGGAUGAAGGUAUUCUGUAUCGUAAACUUCUUUUAUUUAGGAAUAAAAAAGGGGAUGUAUCCCCUCUUGUAUGUACUAUAUGAAUAAGCAUCGGCUAACUCCGUGCCAGCAGCCGCGGUAAUACGGAGGAUGCGAGCGUUAUCCGGAUUUAUUGGGUUUAAAGGGUGCGUAGGUGGAUAUAUAAGUCAGUGGUGAAAUCCCGAUGCUCAACAUCGGCACUGCCAUUGAAACUGUAUAUCUUGAGUGUGAACGAGGUAGGCGGAAUUCGUAGUGUAGCGGUGAAAUGCAUAGAUAUUACGAAGAACUCCGAUAGCGCAGGCAGCUUACCAGGCCACAACUGACACUGAAGCACGAAAGUGUGGGUAUCAAACAGGAUUAGAUACCCUGGUAGUCCACACAGUAAACGAUGAUAACUAACUGUUUGCGAUAUAAUGUAAGUGGUACAGCGAAAGCGUUAAGUUAUCCACCUGGGGAGUACGCCGGCAACGGUGAAACUCAAAGGAAUUGACGGGGGCCCGCACAAGCGGAGGAACAUGUGGUUUAAUUCGAUGAUACGCGAGGAACCUUACCCGGGCUCGAACGGCAGAUGAAUGCCUUGGAAACAAGCAGUCCGCAAGGACAUCUGUCGAGGUGCUGCAUGGUUGUCGUCAGCUCGUGCCGUGAGGUGUCGGCUUAAGUGCCAUAACGAGCGCAACCCCUACUGUUAGUUACCAUCAGGUCAAGCUGGGGACUCUGACAGGACUGCCGCCGUAAGGUGUGAGGAAGGUGGGGAUGACGUCAAAUCAGCACGGCCCUUACGUCCGGGGCUACACACGUGUUACAAUGGGGGGGACAAAGGGUCGCUACCGUGCGAACGGAUGCUAAUCUCUAAACCCUCUCCCAGUUCGGAUAGGAGUCUGCAACCCGACUCCUUGAAGCUGGAUUCGCUAGUAAUCGCGCAUCAGCCAUGGCGCGGUGAAUACGUUCCCGGGCCUUGUACACACCGCCCGUCAAGCCAUGGAAGUUGGGGGUACCUGAAGUCCGUAACCGCAAGGAUCGGCCUAGGGUAAAACUAGUAACUGGGGCU